Phasianus colchicus (ring-necked pheasant) is the source of this 3673-nucleotide non-coding RNA. Lineage: Eukaryota; Metazoa; Chordata; Aves; Galliformes; Phasianidae. The record is from RefSeq and is a predicted model, not a curated record.
CGCAGGCCGGGACGCCUUCCUCGGAACCAUUAAAACUAUCCGCUGCCGUCGGUGCGGAGUGAACGGCUCCGGGGAGAGAGACUGCGCUGCAUUACAGGUAGAAUGAAGAAAUGAGUGUAACCUUCCACUGCCCUGUGAAAACUACAAGAAGCCAAGAGAGCUGGUCAACAUCUUGAACAGCUGGCCCCAAAUCCCUGAGGAUUCACAGCACAUUCCUGCUUCUUAUGUGAACUUCUAGCAUUUGCAAUAUGGAGAACGUGGGUUCCAGCACUUGGCCAAUGGACAAAGAUGCAAGCUAUUCAUUGUGACAGCUUUCCAUCUGAGAAACAUUGCUUGGCUUUCAUUACAAGUAUUUGGGGAAAACAAUGUGAGCUGGAAAAAAACCACAACCAAAACACCACACCUUAAAAAUACCUUAAGCAUACGGCCCUUAGAUCACAGAGCUGUAGCUAUAUCUUUGUUUUUUACUUCUGCACAAAGGACAGUAAUUCACUCUACAUCAUAAAGGAAAUAAGAUGGUACAGUGGGCCUGGAUUCAAAGCUGUAAAAAAAAAAAUACUGAACAGGAAAUCUGUCUGAAAACUGGGGAGUGGGGAAGUUCAUUAGACCAAAGUCUAAAGAUCUGAUUAUGGUUAAAUAUCCUUUGAAUAAACUAAAAAAAAAAAAAUAAAAAAAUCAUUUAAUGGCAGUAAGGGAAAGCAAAAAACAGAAGACAAGAAAACUGAGCCAUUAAUAAUUUCAUCAGCUCUUGAUAAUACUGUCUGAAGUGAACAGAGUAAAACCUUCUUGAGUAAACUGACAUUUAUUUCACAAGCAUCAAGAACAGAUGUCCAGGACCAGAGGAAAGGCAAACUUCAUUUGCUGUGGAAUCCCACUGUUGACUCCAGGCUUUCAGUUGAGCCAUACAACCUGUCCAGCCUUAGGUGUACAGCUACACUCAGCUAACUGCUUGGUGUUAAGACUCAGCACACGACACAAAACCAAAGCUUUUCUAAAUUAUCAACAGAUUUUUUUUUUUUUUGACAAAAGCAAUAUCUUACUUCUACCAGCAAAAAGCCAAGACUUCCCAGAACAUACUAUGCUAAAGCAACACAUCUGUUUCGCUUCAUCAAUAGCAGAGUCCAGCCAAACUGUAUUAAACAAAUCAUCACUAGUGUAACAUUUCCAUAAUUUCUGUGACAAUUACUUUACUAUAGUAAGCACAUCUCCCCUAAGGCAUAUAAGGCAUCUGAUUUUCUAGUGUUAUUUCAAUCACACUACAUAGAGCUCAUUGAUGAGUGAAAGAAGCAUUUGUCUCCCUGAGAAGAAAUUACUAUCAAAUCUCUUCUCCAUCAUUUACUUCCUGAAUUCCAUUAUCAGAAGAACUAACCCUGUCAGCAUGUAUGGAACAAGACAGCAAACUUAAGAUUCUCUCGUUGUGGAUUUAACACUGAUAAGAAAUUUCAAGAAUCCUAGAGACUAUGCCUGUUCAGACACUUCAGAAGGCACUGGCAGUGUAAGAACAGCACGCAGCUGAACAUCACAGUGUUCAUAGGCUACUUUAUCACAUAAUAGAAGCUACAUUGCAGAAUGUCUUUCAAGACCUGAGGGUUUUGAGAACUUACUGAUUCACAUAUUCCCUACUUGCCAUCUAGGAUGAGUUGCCUUUAUAGCCUGUGAUUUUUUUGGUACUGGAAAAUGGAGUGCUACCAGCCCAUAACAUAGCCAAGGAAGCAAUCAAGCAGUGGUACUCCAUCUUCCAGAAAACAGGCUGUUAUUGUGCUUCCUGUGCCCCACACAGGCACAGUGUUAGUUACAGCUUAUGCAACUUAUAACACAACAACUAAGUGAUAAAGCUGAAAAGACCUUCACAGAAAGGUAGUUCUCCUAAUAUGCCAAUGAACCUUGCUACCAAGUAAUCUACUACCAUACACUCAGUACGUGCAUCUUCUCUCCCAUCCCCCAAAUCAGCAGAAUCAGAUCAUUUUCUCCUUUUAUUCUUCCUCAAGGCCUGCGAGAAGCCUGCUUCUUACAAGUUCAGAGUGGCUCUUCCCAUUUAUUAUCCAUUUAUUAUUAUUGCACUUCUCAAUUUUUCCUCAUGCAGCAGCAUGAAAUUAUCUCUUCCAAGGAAGAAAGGAAAAAACAACUGAGUAGAUUUUACUCUGAAGUUCAUAUUGAAUGUGAAGCUGUGUCUUAAACUACUUAUUCUUCUGAAUUCCAUAAAAUAAAGCUUGCUGAAUAAUACUACUAACACAGUAAUAUCUACUAACUGAAAAAUUAGUCCCAUAUUGCAAAGCUUCCCUCAACAAACACAAAAGCCCCUAAGACACCUGGAAACUACACUGGCCCUAAGGAGAGGAAAGAAAAAAAAAGGUGUUGGAAACAUUGAUAAAUGUUCAGCUUCAUCCAAUGGAUAAACUCUUUCUACCAUUUCCCUUGGAGAGGUCUCUGGAAGUGGCUGAUCCUGGUAAUACUCCUCAGAAAUAAGUAUUAAUGCAUCUUAUUUUAAAUCUUGCUUUUAAUGAAUGUUAACUGCCACUGAUUAGUGAGGCACAAUUGCCAUCCUAUAUCUCUAUGAAGUAAAGCAGAGAGACAAAAAGAAUUCCAAUACAGAGAGUGUUAUGUCAUUUUACUUCUUACUUCAGAAGAUUAUUAAACCUUACAGAGAACAAGCUGCAAUAUGCAUAAUUCCACAGAGGAAUAAACUAAGUAGCUUACAGCAAAAGCAUUAACCUAGUCCAAUAUUUUGAUAUUACUCUUGACUCACAGUCAAGAUCUCUUUGAAAGACUUAAUUUCACAGCAGCUGCUCUACAUACAAAAGGUGUAUAUUCUACAUAAUUCUAAAAGACUUAAAUGCCAGAAUUUCUUCUCGUCAAUAGAAGUUGAUUGGAUUAAACAGCCCAGGACUUUUAACAAUGAAAUGCAACUUUCACAUAAAAUCUACGUCACUAAGGUAAAAGCAUUGGGAAGAAUGCCAUGAGAAAUGUAAAAGCUUCUACAGACAGAGAUACUCGGAAGUGGACUAUAUUUACUACAUAUUAUUGUCUCUUACUAUAAUGCAAUAGUGCUUUAAUUCUAAGUUCAAUAUUCUUAGUUUUCCUCUCAAGUUAACAGUUUAAAAUAAAACAGCUGUCCCAAAGGUUUCUUCUGAUCAAUGGAUAAUUAGACAAACUAAGCCAUGAAGCUCAAAUGAAACCUACCGUAGAGUUGAGACAAUAUUAAAAAGUUCACUGUUAUACUGCCUGAUACCCCAGCAGAAAACAGCCAGCUUUAGAACUGCCUCCCAUGUUUUCUUUUUGCAAAACAGAACAAAACAAAAAACUGGCAUCAAGCAUUGUAGAAAAAGCUGAAUAAAAGCUGCUGGGUAACAGGAGCCAUUUGUUUGGAGAACUAUGACUUCUGAAAGCUUGACAUGCUUAUGCACUGUGAUUAAUUUUAUUUUUAUUUAAGUUAAAAAAGCAUUUCUUGAAAGUGUACACAGUGUAUAGUUAACUGUUAUGAAUUUUCUAAGUAUAUAUGUGCUUUCUGGAAGUUUGGUACACCACCUUGAAUAAUGAUUGUUAAAUUCAGCUUUUACUUAUGUGAUUGCACAUGGAAAACAUAUUCAGUUUGUAAGUAUGAACAUGUUGCUAUCCAGUUAUUAUUUGAAAGUUACGUCACAUAGAGGUGCUCUUGAAAGACAGAUGAGAAAAA